CAGAAUAUGCUUGGACCACCAGACCUUCGCAGUUUGUAUGCAUCUCAAUGGUUAACACAUCCAAACUCAUGGAUUUCCCAUUUUGAGCAAAGGAAUUAACAUGGACCGUCUGGAUCAUGACACGUCAACAUCAUUGCCGUCUAGGGUUCUGCUUUUUUUCUUGGAUUUUAGCUUCUUGCUUGACUUGUGCUCUUUAGAUGCCUUCUUUCGUUUCACAGGCAGGGGUUCUUCCUCGUCUUCGUCUAGGUUCCUGCUUUUUUUCUUGGAUUUUAGCUUCUUGCUUGACUUGUGCUCUUCAGAUGCCUUCUUUCUUUUCACAGGCAGGGGUUCUUCCUCGUCUUUGUCUAGUGUGUCGUUUACAUUUUGUUGUGCCUUAUUUGAAGGUAGAUCUUCAGCAGAUGCAGCGACGUCUGUUUGAGCAAAUUUGCAUCAGAGAAUGUUAGGUAAU
Molecule: long non-coding RNA, 448 nt
Filed under: Actinidia chinensis (golden kiwifruit)
Lineage: Eukaryota; Viridiplantae; Streptophyta; Magnoliopsida; Ericales; Actinidiaceae
Description: long non-coding RNA (ACHI_LNC001743)
Source: RNAcentral